This is a ribosomal RNA of 162 nucleotides. The stretch from base 1 to 116 matches the Rfam family "5.8S ribosomal RNA", at positions 41 to 154 of the family's 154-position model. Rfam says of the family: 5.8S ribosomal RNA (5.8S rRNA) is a component of the large subunit of the eukaryotic ribosome. It is transcribed by RNA polymerase I as part of the 45S precursor that also contains 18S and 28S rRNA. Functionally, it is thought that 5.8S rRNA may be involved in ribosome translocation.
GAACGUAGCGAAAUGCGAUACUUGGUGUGAAUUGCAGAAUCCCGUGAACCAUCGAGUCUUUGAACGCAAGUUGCGCCCGAUGCCUUCAGGCUGAGGGCACGUCUGCUUGGGCGUCACGCAUCUCGUCAACGCCUCCCACGUCGAUUUUUCCCCACUCAAAUG